CCAAUAGCGUAUAUUAAAGUUGUUGCAGUUAAAAAGCUCGUAGUUGAAUUUCGGGAUCAAAGGAUCGGUCAUGCCUUGGUAUGUACUGGUUUUAUUGGUUCUCACCUUCUAAAGAACCAUAAUGUCAUUCAUUUGAUGUUAUGGGGAAUUAGGACUGUUACCUUGAAAAAAUUAGAGUGUUUAAAGCAGGCUCACGCUUGAAUACAUUAGCAUGGAAUAACGAAAUAGGACGUUUGAUUUUAUUUUGUUGGUUUCUAGGAUCGACGUAAUGAUUAAUAGGGAUAGUUGGGGGCAUUAGUAUUCAAUUGUCAGAGGUGAAAUUCUUGGAUUUAUUGAAGACUAACUACUGCGAAAGCAUUUGCCAAGGAUGUUUUCAUUAAUCAAGAACGAAAGUUAGGGGAUCGAAGACGAUAAGAUACCGUCGUAGUCUUAACCAUAAACUAUGCCGACUAGGGAUCGGAUGAUGUUAAUUUUUUAAUGACUCAUUCGGCGCCUUACG
This 499-nucleotide unclassified non-coding RNA is filed under the name uncultured Glomus. RNAcentral's name for it is "SSU rRNA". It matches the Rfam family "Eukaryotic small subunit ribosomal RNA", at positions 591 to 1092 of the family's 1831-position model. Lineage: Eukaryota; Fungi; Glomeromycota; Glomeromycetes; Glomerales; Glomeraceae. The record is from RNAcentral.